RNAcentral lists this ribosomal RNA (1090 nucleotides) under uncultured organism. RNAcentral describes it as "bacterial SSU rRNA". It matches the Rfam family "Bacterial small subunit ribosomal RNA", at positions 259 to 1353 of the family's 1533-position model. The record is from RNAcentral.
AACGGCCCACCAAGGCGACAACGGGUAGCUGGUCUGAGAGGAUGGUCAGCCACACUGGAACUGAGACACGGUCCAGACACCUACGGGUGGCAGCAGUCGAGAAUCAUUCGCAAUGGGGGAAACCCUGACGAUGCGACGCCGCGUGGAGGAUGAAGGCCUUAGGGUUGUAAACUCCUGUCAAGAGGGAAUAAGCAAGUGAAGGUACCUCUAGAGGAAGGGGCGGCUAAUUCCGUGCCAGCAGCCGCGGUAACACGGAAGCCCCGAGCGUUGUUCGGAUUCAUUGGGCGUAAAGGGUGCGUAGGCGGCGCGGAAAGUCCGGCGUGAAAGGCAGGGGCUCAACCUCUGGACUGCGUUGGAUACUUCCGUGCUUGAGGACUGGAGGGGAGACUGGAAUUCACGGUGUAGCAGUGAAAUGCGUAGAUAUCGUGAGGAAGACCGGUGGCGAAGGCGAGUCUCUGGACAGAUCCUGACGCUGAGGCACGAAGGCUGGGGGAGCGAACAGGAUUAGAUACCCUGGUAGUCCCAGCAGUAAACGAUGUGAGCUUGAUGUGGGGGGAUUCGACCCCUUCCGUGUCGAAGCUAACGCGAUAAGCUCACCGCCUGAGGAGUACGGCCGCAAGGCUAAAACUCAAAGAAAUUGACGGGGACCCGCACAAGCGGUGGAGUAUGUGGCUUAAUUCGAUGCAACGCGAAGAACCUUACCUGGCCUUGACAUGCAUUGUGUCGUCGGUGAAAGCCGGCUAGUCCUGGAAACAGGACGCUUUGCACAGGUGCUGCAUGGCUGUCGUCAGCUCGUGUCGUGAGAUGUUGGGUUAAGUCCCGCAACGAGCGCAACCCUUGUGGCCAGUUACUAACCGGCUUAGCCGGAGGACUCUGGCCAGACUGCCCUGUCAAACGGGGAGGAAGGUGGGGACGACGUCAAGUCAGUAUGGCCCUUAUGGCCAGGGCUGCACACGUACUACAAUGCCCGGUACAAUGUGAACCGAAACCGCGAGGUGGAGGAAAUCGCUCCUGAAAACCGGGCCCAGUUCGGAUUGGAGUCUGCAACUCGACUCCAUGAAGUCGGAAUCGCUAGUAAUGGCGUAUCAGC